UUUUUCUCUUUCUUUUUAGCCGGUCGAACGACCACGACAGGCUCCUAUCAUCAUUAGCUAGAUAGACAUCAAGCUAAUAACUCAUGCAACUGAGUCAUUAUAAACUAAACACGACAUUGGACCUAUACUUUGCAGUAAUUUUCCACAUAAUAAGCCCUAAACAAUUAUGUUUCGAUACGAGGCUUCGUUGACUCAUCGAUACUGAAAUAAUCUUAACUUUCCACUAAAAAAAGUAGUGUUGUCCUCUCAUAGAAUGAAAAUGAAGGCAUUUGCGAAGAGGGAUAAAUUAAUAAGGCAGCGGAAAUUUCCCAAGUGUAUAUUUGAAGAUAUCAGGAACUGAGCCAAACAUCCUGAACAUCAAAAAGCAUGUAUAAUGAGGAGGUUUCCGUAAAAUGUAGUUAAUAUAUAUGUUGAAAUAAAAAUGAAUAAAAUUAUAACAGGCCUAUACAUAUAUUGGAAUGAAAAACGAGGGGCGGGGGAACUUUCACAAACAACUAUAUAACAAUUAUUACAAGACAGUCCCAGCUUUAUAUAUGUAUAAAUUUCACAAUUAAAAAAUAUUAACAAUAGUACUGAAUAUGAUAGUUAUCCUGGUUCUUUUAAACAGUAAAUGGUAUUCUCUCAGAAACCAUCUACAAGUGGAUAUACAGGGAACUUUACAGAAAACCUAUUUUAAUUUUAUUCCAAGGCAGGUUGACCGAGGUUAUUAUUCAACUGAGCACAUUGAAAUUUAGAUCAGGACGUAAACAUUGAAGUAAAAACAACGGAUUACUAAUGUAUACCCUUUCCAAAAGCACAAUAUGUAGUUUGUAUUUAGAACUCGUCAUUUUUAGACUUUAUAACUUAUAGAAAGUGUUUAUCUAAAAUGAUACAAAAAAAUUAUAAACAAAUGCACCAGGAGUGGGUGUCGAAAUUUAUGUUAAUAGAAUGUUACAGUAAACUUUAAACAACGUUCUCGACCAACACACACACACGUAAUUCUUUGGUUUUACAUUUACUCUUGGUAAUUGAGAAAUACAUAUUGAUUUUCUAUUAAUGAAUAAAGUUGGUGUUGAUGCCUGGCCAUCAAAGUAUAAAAAUAUUCUAGUUAAAAUGAAAGUAAAAGAGAUAAUUUUAAAACAUCUUACAAUGAAAGAAAGCACUUCGUUCUUCGGACGUUGAAAACCAUUUGCCGUUUUGGGUUUAGGGUACGAUUUUUAAUGACCUGGGAUUAUCAAAGAUGUAUUAAUUAGGCGAGGACACGAAUGACAUUGCAGUUAAGUCUGAUAUAUUUAUACAUAUAUUGUAAUGUAUAUUUCAGUGUAGGUGUGAGAAUAAUUGCCUAUUUCUGGAGUUUAACAGAGGGAAUAGGCACUCACAUGCAUUGUAUAUCAUCAGGUUGUGUCGUAAUUUCUCGAAUAAUAAAUAGUUAGAUGUGACGGUCAAGGAGGACAUGAAUGACAAUGGAAAAUAAAAGUGUUCAGGUGAGACUGUUGACUGAGACAAGUUGGUACGAUUAGGAAAAAUCACACAUUUACGGGCUUUUCCCCACUACACACGUAACAAUAAAACAGAAAGGCCAGGAUGACAGCAUUGGUUUCCAAAUAUGAGGCACGGAUAAGGAGAACCAGAUAUUGACAAAAAUUAAUAUGGUUAUUGGACCUGACUGAUGUAGGGGUAGCUAGCACUAAUUUAUCAGUUGUGAUACAAUAAUUGGAGAUUGAAAGAAGAAAACAAGAGACAUGUGAAUGACAUUGAGAAGUAAGAAAACAACAAAGUGACGCCAAAGAAAGUCUAUACACAACAGAUGAUAAAUAUAUUGAUUUAUAAGUGAGAUGGUUAAUAAUGCCUGCCGGACUUCACUGUAUUGUAAAUAGAUAUAGGUUUUAAGAGGGUUUACAUAUUAACAAAGACAACACAUUGAUGAGACUUAUUGGUUGUUACACACUAUUUUAAAAUGAUAAAUUUCGUUUAUCUUUGUGGAAACAAAACAAAUCUUUGAGUUGGAAAAGUCGCUCGUAAAUAAUAAAGAGACAGAGAGAAAGAGAAAGGAAGAAUAAACCGUGUGUCUGUCUGUGUGUGUGAAUGUGUGUGCGUCAGAGAGAAAGAAAGAGAGAAACAUAGAAAUAGUGUCUGUGUGUGCGUCGAACACGAGAUGAGAAGCUGGGAUGAACAUCUCAAUCCCUUUUUUUCAUACGAAACAAGUCGAUAAAAUAGGUAAAUGAAUAGAAAGGUUGUCUGCUCAACAAUCUUACCUACGGCUGACCGCUGUUAUUUCCUCUUCUAUUCGUAAAAUCCCAUCCUAUGGGGUAAUAACAUAUCCAUAGUGAGUAGAACCCAGCAGUAUAUCUACUCAUGCUACGCUUCGUUUAAUUGUAAACUCGCUGCCUUGACAGGUGCUCAUACAAAACCCGAAAUGGUUGCUAAAAGAUCGAUAAUUCAUCAUCACAUCACACUUCUGCUAAAUACUUGUUGCAUGAGCUUUAUUUGUUUAUUUCUUGGUCUUUGUUGUUGGGUUUUUUUUUGUCUCUUGUUCAAGUGUUACCGAUUACGAGCGAAAUAGAAAUCUUGUCAACUCAUCAGAUAUAUAAUUGUGUUUUAAAUAUAUAAUCUUAAUAAUAGACUUGCUUUGUUUUCACAUGCGAAGAAUAACUUUUAAAAGUUUAUAAAUCAAGUAUUGUUUACAUGUAUAUAAAUAAACAAUAUUUCUUGCAACUUUUUUUUUUUCCUUCCGAUAGUUAUUAGUGUGACGGGAAGGGAGACGGACUGGUUUCGUUCCGUCUUUAUCAAAGUUUUUAUAUAGUCUAAUGUUGCAAUUAUAUAAACCGGAUGUAUAUCCCGAGUAUAUAAAGCGUGUGAGUACGUGUUUCGGUCAUUUUUUGCGGAGCAGUUUGUUGGCUGUUGCUGAGGUAUGUGCUUUAUAAGUCAAUCAGCAAGACCGGGGGUAAUCGUAGCGUAUAUUAAGAUAUAUACAGCUUAAGCAUGUUGAGGACAAUCCGUAGUUUAAGACUUAGCCAUUUUAGUAAUCGAACUAUUUUUUUUCAUAAUGUAUUAACGUUAAUCCCCUUUCUUCAUAGAUUAGUAUGUAUUUUAUGACUAGAAUUAAUAUAUACUUAUUUUUUUUCGCUUUUCCGGUGAAGCUAAAUUUUUUUUUUUUUAUCUUUUAUCUCUUGAAAAAAGACAUGGCUUUAAUGUAAUAUAUAGUAUUUUGUGUAUAGAUUUACGGUGAUAUAACUAACGGUUCUGCCGUGAGUGGAAACUGGCGGUAACCUGCAGCCACGUGGCUUCAUCUGUUGCUCACCGUUCUCACACUUUACUCCACGUGGUCUCUUGCUGUUUAUUCUGCUACUGAUUUUUUCUAUUUCGGUGAUGACAUUCGCGAUUCUGAAGAUCAGUUGUUCUCUUCGUGGUGCAGUUUUUGUGCUUCCGAAGUUCUGACAACUUUUUUACAUUGCUGUCUUAGAGGCAUUUGUCUGAGAAAUUUACAUUCAGUACAGUCCUAAUUGGGUUUUUUUUUUUAAUCCUACCCUGCUGUCCAUACCACUGCUAGAAUCUGCUUUUGUACAGGGUUUUUUUUUCCUUUUAGUUCUAUAUUUUAUAUAGUUUCGAAUAUAUGUGUUGCGGUUAAUUUUGGAUUUCGUUAAAGUGAGAAAUGUUGCUUGAUGGAUUCGUACAUUUUUUUGUACCCAAGCUGUCCGCGUGUGUCGAUCAGGCCAUAAUUUACUAGUGUAUUAAUUAGUAGCCAUUUAGUGUAUGCUCGUUUUUAAUGGUAGCUCUUUCAUUUGUCUCCAGUUAAAUUAAGGGAUGUUUUGCUACUUAGUUUUAAUUUUUACAGAAGUCAUAUUAGUCCGGUAUGAGGAUAUUAAAUUUCGUCGUUCCUCCUGGGUGGGUGAUCUGUGUAACUGCCGUCUGCUAAGUUUGACCUCAACCCUACUGUGACGGUCAACAUGUUACCCUUGCUAAAUACUAUAUCGCUGUACAGUUGUAGUUCUAUAGAAAUGUCCUGAGAGUGAUGACCUUGUGGAUCGACUGAUUAUCUUGACGAUUUCCCUUCGCCCCUAUCUGACUCGGGACAUUUUAGUAAAUGUUUUUUUUGUCUUCUGUGACUGGUGGUAGCGGUACAACUGAAAUACCAGAAGAUGGUGUUUUAGUAGAUUAAAUACGUUGUCUGAUUGCUUUCUUUUCGCUCCUGUAUAUUUGAUGUGUCACUUGUUUUAUUUUUCACGCUAGCAUAAACAUGUAAUUUGCUGUGAUUGAUAUAGAUUUGAGUGCCAUCGUGGCGUGGAAAAAAAAUUACGGUUAAUAUCUAGAUCCGCACCCGGUGGGAAAAUUGGAAACGAAAAUGUGUAACAGUUGUAAGGCAUCGUAUAUUGACGGGAAAAAAGCGCGCUGACAAACGGGGGGUGGGGGGCUCGGGAAAUUCCCAGGAUCAACCGUAGAGGAUCCACGCCCAGGUGGCAAAAAUGGAAAAAAAUAUGUGUAACAGGUGUAAGGCAUCGUAUAUUACUGUAUGUUAUAUAUCAGCUUUGCAUGUUAUUUAGAUCACUUUCGUUUGUCUCAAAAGAUUUUUAUCCCUGACUUUUAAUGAGAAUAACCCAACAGGGGGAAAGCACAAUGUGUGCCUUUGUUCAUAGACCAACUCGGGUCCAGGGGACUUACUGUAUAACGUAUGGAAAGUGUCGUAUGGGGCUGGGGUGACUGAUAAUUGUGGAGGGCGUUGAUCCAUUUAUACUGCUAAUAGACGGUCAACAAUUGUAAAGGUGUUUUAUGGACAUACUGUUAUAGUGUCAGCAUUACGAAUUAGCUUCUGAUAUCAUGAUGAACACUAGGUCGGAGUACUGUGCUAUUUUCAGCAGUGAUGACAGCCCUACUCGUUCACUUCUUCUGAAUAUCAGAAACUAAUUCUGUGAGCUCCAUAACCCUUCAGUAUUCGGUCAAAUGUAAUAUUUAUAAGCAUUGUUUUGAGUCACGUUUUAUCCCGUAGCUUUGGGAUUUAUUUUUAGAAUGAUAUUGUUGGAUAGGUGCGAGAAACCAAAGAUGAUCGGUUUGAAUGUUAGUGUUACUCUUAGGUUCCUUUUGCGAAUUGGUUUUUUAAACCUGCCUUGUAUAAAGUUUAAUAAAAUAUGUUUAUAAAAGAUAAAUAUUUCCAUGUCCCCCUUCUCCUGUUCUAAAAUAUCUGACUGGUGUGACCCAAAAAUUUGUUUAUAGCUUCUGUUGGAUUUCGUGUUGCUCUUCUAAGGGCGUAUAGAAUAGGUAUGUAUUGUUUCGUUUGUGUGCAUCAUGUACUAAAAGUUCUGGCUGCUGUUCUCCAGUGUUUUGCAAAAUCAGGCUCAUACUACGAAUAAAAUUUCUGCAACUUUUGUAGUAGGGUGUGGUGGGGGGCAAAGAAUAGGCAGCCAUUUAAAAGAACUUCAUUUUUAAUUACUAUGGUUUGGUUUUGAGAUAGAGGGGUAUCAAAGCGUUUAAUUGAAUAUACUUGUUGGACGGCUCAAUAUUUUACACUUGCAGGUAGAAGCAUGACUCUAGGUUGCUUCAGCCUUAUUCAACCAUGGUAAAGUAGAAAAGAUUUCUCAUUGAAUGAGAUGAGAUUUGGCAAAAACUGUCCUGAGGAUGAUGAUCUUGUGGAUCGACUGAUACCUUGACGAUUUCCCUUCGCCCCUAUCUGACUCGGGACAGUUUAUGAUUGCUGCAAUGAGUGAGAUAAGAAUAAUGCCAUGUAUUUGGAGUGAUAUCUGCUGCUGGUGUUGCGAAACUAUCACGGUAAAGAGCACCUUUCGAGCACUGGGCCUCACAGAAGCAGUCAGGAAGGGCACCUAACUGUAGAAUUAGGCUGGAGUCUGGCACUGCCCCUCAGCUUGCCAGCAUGGACGUUAAAUGAUGAUAGAUAAUGUGGUAAUUUUGAAAUAUGCAGAGGUUGUUUCAAUGGAUUGAAGAAUUUCCCUGGUGAAAUUCUUUUUGCCCUUGUCUCACUUAAGACAUUUCGUUGAUGUUUUCACUUACAUAUACUGUUUGGGGAGAGUGCCUUAUAGUUAACACGCUCACUGGUAAAAUUUCCACUUAUUUCGUUUCUUUUUCUGAAAAUUUUUGUUGCGUCUUGCAACCUUUUCAAUAGUUUUGACAGUCAAAACUAUUGAAAAGGUUGCAAGAAGCAACGAAAGUUUUAGAAUGAUAAAGGAAAUAGGGGGAAAUUUUACUGGUGUGUGUUAAAUUAUAAAGCACUAAAAUAGAAUGACUCUCCCCAGACACAACAGAAUGUACUUCAACACACAAACUCACAUAAAGAAUCUUGCUAACCAAAUCCAAAAGCAAAAUUCACUUACAUAGUUUUCCUUUUAGUAUUCACAAUCUGGUUGUUGCAAUAAACCUCUCUCUCUCUUGUUUUUGUCCUGAGAAUGAUGAUCUUGUGGAUCGACUGAUGUCUUGACGAAUUCCCUUCGCCCCUAUCUGACUCAGGACUGUUUAUGAAUAUUAUAAGUGGGAUAAGAUAAUUUAAAUUUUGAUACAAGGUUCCUUCCACCCCAAUAAUGUGAAAGAUUCUAAGGCUGGUUGUCAUGUGGAUUGACUUGUUUUGCAUAUUCUUCUUUACCUCUGUCUAGCUUAGAACAUUUAUAUUGUAGGUUCAAAGGUGGUUGGGAAAUGGUUUCAUUUUUUCACAGUGGACAAUGUGUGAAAAUAUAGAAAGGUGAUGUUGAAAAGAUCUUGGCUUUAAGGGUAAAGCUGGGAGGUAGGUCAGAAGAUAUACAGAAUAUGAUGUGGUAUACAAUAUAUCUUUCUCUUUUUUGCAGAUUUAAUGCAUGAUGGCAGCUCCUAGUGUAUUUUGGGAGAAUUGAAGUACAAGUAGUAAUGAAAUUACUCUUUCUGCAAGGCAAACAACCAGCAGAAAUCCAUGGCCAUAUGAAGAACGUCUUGAAAUAUGGCUGUCCAUCUUACUCCACAAUAAAAAUCAGGCUAACUGAUGAUCAUUUUGGCAGGACAGCCAACUUCUGCAACUACAGAGGACUCUGUGCAUGUCAUGAUUCUCGAGGACUACAGGGUUUCAGCUGAGACUCCGAGGAUUUCCCGCGAAAGAGUUAAUCACUUCAUCCACAACAUUCUGGGCAUAGGAAAGCUUUCUGCAAGGUGGGUGCCUGAAUGCAGAUCUCAAGUACAUCAGGAUGACAGCAUCAGAGGUGAUUUUGGACCAGUCUGCAGCAGGAGAGGUUGAUUUUAUGGCUUGUUUAGUCACCUUGGAUGAAACUAGGCUUCAUCCCCGGACCAAGCAGCAAUCAAUGGAGUGGAGUCACGGUUGUUCACCACAUCCCAAGAAGUUUUGAACCUGGAAAAUGACUAGAAAGGUUCUGGCUUCAGUGUUCUGGGAGUACCCCUUUUAUAAUACCUGCCAAAGGGUGCACCAUCAAUGCAGAAUACUACAUGUCUCUGUUGGAUGAAGCUUUGAUGCCAUGGAAAGCUGACCCAUAAUGCCCUGCUUUUGUAGGGUAGUUGUAUCAACACAUGAAACCCUACAGAAACUACACAGCGGCUUUGAAUUGGUAGACCUCCGACCGUACUCUUCUGAUUAUCACCUCUUUUCACAACUGAAGAAACGCCUCCACAAUGAAAUUUCACUCUGAGGGGUGAUUGUUGCUACAACCUCCCAAGUUCUUUUUUCAGGGUUUAGAAAAGCUGAGGGACUGCUGUGAUAGGUGUGUGAAUCUGAGAGAUGAAUACGUUGAAUAAAAUCACUAGCAGCUAAGCCUGGUCUGUUUGGAUGAUGUGGCUAUGAUAGAUUAACUAAUUCUCCUGUAUUUUCUUUUAUCUAGAGCCAGGGAAUUUUAAGUAUCCCUUUGUAUAUAAUGUUACCAUUACCAAUAGUUUCUGAUAUCAUGAUGAACACAGGUCGGAACACUGUGCUAUUUUCAGCAGUGAUGACAGCUCUAUUCAUUCACUUCUGAAUAUCAGAAACUAAUUGUGUGAUGUCUUGUUCUUUGAUUCCCCUUCACUUAUUCAUUUCUUAAAUCAAUGCUUUGUAAUCAUGAAUUUCAAUAAAAUGCUUUUAUUAAAAA
This 8021-nucleotide long non-coding RNA is filed under the name Octopus vulgaris (common octopus). Lineage: Eukaryota; Metazoa; Mollusca; Cephalopoda; Octopoda; Octopodidae. The record is from RNAcentral.